RNAcentral lists this ribosomal RNA (488 nucleotides) under Entomobrya sp. NM07272. RNAcentral's name for it is "partial 16S ribosomal RNA". It matches the Rfam family "Bacterial large subunit ribosomal RNA", at positions 1796 to 2584 of the family's 2925-position model. The record is from RNAcentral. Lineage: Eukaryota; Metazoa; Arthropoda; Collembola; Entomobryomorpha; Entomobryidae.
UGGAUGUUUAUCAAAAACAUUUCUUUUAGUUGUUAUAAAAAGUAAAGCCUGCCCCCUGAAAAUUGAAGGGCCGCGGUAUUAUGACCGUGCUAAGGUAGCAUAAUCCUUAGUCUUUUAAUUAGGGAAUUGUAUGAAUGGUUAAACCCACAUUAUUUUUAUUCUUUAAAAGGUUUAAAUUUUAAUUUUAAGUGAAAAAGCUUAUUUUAGUUAAAAAGACGAUAAGACCCUUUAGAGCUUAAUAAAAAUUUAUUUUUUAUACUUUGGGGGAAGUAUAAAAAAUAAAUUUUUAUUUAGUUGGGGCAAUUUUAGAAUAAAAAAAACUUCUAUAAAAUUUUUAAUCUUUUUGUAAAAAAAAUUAAAAAGUUACCUAAGGGAUAACAGCGUAAUAAUGUUUGAGAGUUCAUAUCGACAAAAUUGUUUGCGACCUCGAUGUUGAAUUAAAAAUUCUUUUUAGGGCAGUAUUUAUAAAAGAUAGUCGUCGUGAGGGA